AUGGCUCGGAGCGGGCUCGGGGUGGUCGCCGUCCUCGUCCUCGCCGCGACGGCGACCCUGUGCUCGGCGCAGAUGACGAUGACGAUGCCCACCUGCGCGCCGGUGCCGCUCAGCCUGUCCCCGUGCAUCGGCUACCUCUUCGGCGCCGGCUCGGCGGCGCUGCCGUCGUGCUGCUCGCAGCUCCAGGCCUUCUUCCAGUCCCAGGGGCCCUGCCUGUGCGCCAUGUCCAAGCUCGCGCCCAGCCCCUUCGGCCUCGUCCUCGGCCAGGUCCAGGGCAUGAUCCCCAACGUGUGCAACCUGCCCACCGACCCGUGCGAUGAUGUCUUUGGGGCGAGCAAUUCGACGGACGACUCCACCCCGCAGCCAACCGCAAAGGCCGCGUCUCCGGAAGCGGCACCUCCGGCAGCCACUCCCGCCGAGCCUGAGCCAGAGCAUGCAGCCACAACGUCGACGACGCCGGAGAGUGCCGGUGCGACUGAAGCUCCCCCGGCAGCAGGUGACGAUUCUCCGGCUGUUGCCACGAAGACAGGACAGGUUGCCCCCCAAGGCGCUGGAUCAAGCACCGAUUCACAGGGGAUAUCAAAGCUCCCAGAACUGCUGCACGCAGCAGGCGCGCCGAGCUCCGCCGCUGCCACCGUGCUCAUCAGUGUGGUUCUUGCCUAUGUUUCGGCCAUGUUUGUGUAA
This 684-nucleotide ribosomal RNA is filed under the name Triticum aestivum (bread wheat). Its description in RNAcentral is "partial small subunit ribosomal RNA". The record is from RNAcentral. Lineage: Eukaryota; Viridiplantae; Streptophyta; Magnoliopsida; Poales; Poaceae.